UGGUGGCAUGACCGUGAGCGCCUGUUCGAGGAAAGCCGUUACACUUUUUCGUCGGGACUUCAAAGGCUUAAAUGGGAGCUCCGCGUUCUCACCACCCGAAACAAUUGGAGUGGUAACGGAGAGAGAGGUGGAGAGGCCGAAGCGACUCCUCGUAGUCAUCUUCGCCCUUGUCUCUUCCGCCUCUCUCUCUCUCUCUCUCUCUCUCUCUCUCUCUCUCUCUCGAUUUCUUCCGUUGGUGGAUUUAGAUGUAAAUAUGUUGAAUCUUUGGGCGUGGUGAGACCCUUCAUUGGUUUCCCGGCCGACAACGAAAGAGAAGGCUGACCGGCUUCUAGGGUUUCUUGGUUAUUUUCUUGGAUUAUCUUGGGUGAAAAGCAUGAGGACGAGGCCUCGAGAUGACGACAAUGCAUCCAGUUCGAUGUGGCCUAAGCAAUCUAGAGGCGCAUCGUGAGCUCCCUGAUCAUGUUUCACUAUCCCUUACCGUUUUCUUGAAUUUCACCCUUUUCUGUUUAUCUCCACACGAUCUCUUCUUCUAUGCUUCUCAAUGGAAUCUUUCGUUGUUUUGUGUACUGCAGAUGAUCGCUCGCUAUGACAUGCUAUAGACCGUGUUCUUGCUGUUCUAUAAUUCCAUGUAUUAGUACUUCGAUUUGGGGGCAUAAUUUCAUCUUUAUUGUUUUCUUUAUUGAGUUGAAGGUCCAGUCAUAGUGAUUCUAAGCCAGGAAGGGGUGAUGCCAGAGAGUUCCUGGCUAUAGUCAAAAGGGCACUUCACGAUGAAGCACAUACACAUGAUCAAUUCCUUGAUAUCAUGAAGAGUUUAGAGAAUUCAAGUAUCACUCCAAUUGAGGCUAGCAGAAGGGUAGAGAACUACUUAAAGUGCAUCCUGACUUGGUUGUGCAGUUCCGCAAUUUUGCCCUCACCAAAAUGAUGCCAGCACGCCAACUUUGUCUGAAUUAUAUCAAAGGAAUAAUGGCAAUUAUUAUACCUUACAAUUGAUCUCUCUUAUGUUGGUGUGCCUGUGUGCACGCAUGUCUGUGUGCAUGCAUGUGGAUAUUAGCUAUUUACUUAUUCUGUUGGCAUUAAUAGUUUCUAGUAUAAUGUGCUUAACUUUUCUUUUCUUUCCUGCAGAAUCGUUUUUCAGAUGAACCUGACAAGUACUGUUCGAUUUGGACAUCCUGAUAAUCCAUAGGACUAAUUGCAUGUUCAUUGAUGACGUUUAGCAAGAGGUUUUAGGUGUUUUUUUUUUUUUUUUGUAUAAGCUUGAUUGUGCGAGUAUUUAUUUUUGGAUAUAUCUUGACUUGAAGUUUCCAGCUGUCCAUAUUACUUGGCACCAUGAUGAUUUGCUUUCAGCGUUAAAGUCUCUCUUACCUGCUGGACAUGGAGCAGAGUCUAUUCAUCAGACAUCGUCUUGUAGAUCUUUAGGGUACCAGAACGAAGACAAUGAAGAACGAAAUCCUAGCAAAGCAGAUUUAGAGCUUGAUCUUUCUAAUUGUCAGCAGUGUACCCUUGUUCCUGCUUCCUGCCUGAGAAUUAUCAAAUGCCUCCUGCAAGCAACGGACUUGAGCUGGAUGCAUCGGUACUGAAUAAUGUUGUGGUAUCCAAAACUUCUGGAUGUAAGGAUUCUUCUAAGGACAGGCAAAGAAACAAGUAUGAAAAAAUGGUUUGAGUCAGAUAUGCUAUUAGAGAUUAUUAGUGCAACUACUGGGGUUGAAGGAUUUGCUAGCAAAGCUCGAGGAUGACAAAGAUGAACUAGAAAUCAAUUUCCAAUCGAAGAAUGGAUACAUGGAGACUACAAGCUGGACGUUGUGGAUCAGCUACAGGAGAACCCUGGUGUGGUAUUGCCUCGCGUAUUAAUUCCUUUGAAGCAGAAGCACAAAGAGUGGGUGAUAUGUAUGAAGACGGUGCAGAAGGGCUCGACUGCAAAAGGUGACUUCGUUAUGAAAGGUACCAUUUAUUUCUUCGUGGACUUUGUCUUUUCUUACAUUACUUUUAGUCUGAGCAGAUUACAUAUGCAGUAAGGUUAGAAGGAACAAAUGGAAACAUCUACAGUUAACUGGCCUUUUACUGAAGUCUACUAAUUGUCUUGUUCAACAUCUGCUUAGCUUUUGUAAUCUGGUUUUGGUAAAUCCUCCUGUUUCUGGUAGUCUUUUUAACUUCUGCUGACGAGA
Musa acuminata AAA Group (dessert banana) is the source of this 2162-nucleotide long non-coding RNA. RefSeq lists it as uncharacterized. The record is from RefSeq and is a predicted model, not a curated record. Lineage: Eukaryota; Viridiplantae; Streptophyta; Magnoliopsida; Zingiberales; Musaceae. The transcript is spliced from 6 exons.